UGAACUCGCUGUGAAGAUGCAGUGUACCCGCGGCAAGACGGAAAGACCCCGUGAACCUUUACUAUAGCUUGACACUGAACAUUGAGCCUUGAUGUGUAGGAUAGGUGGGAGGCUUUGAAGUGUGGACGCCAGUCUGCAUGGAGCCGACCUUGAAAUACCACCCUUUAAUGUUUGAUGUUCUAACGUGGACCCGUUACCCGGGUUGCGGACAGUGUCUGGUGGGUAGUUUGACUGGGGCGGUCUCCUCCUAAAGAGUAACGGAGGAGCACGAAGGUUGGCUAAUCCUGGUCGGACAUCAGGAGGUUAGUGCAAUGGCAUAAGCCAGCUUGACUGCGAGCGUGACGGCGCGAGCAGGUGCGAAAGCAGGUCAUAGUGAUCCGGUGGUUCUGAAUGGAAGGGCCAUCGCUCAACGGAUAAAAGGUACUCCGGGGAUAACAGGCUGAUACCGCCCAAGAGUUCAUAUCGACGGCGGUGUUUGGCACCUCGAUGUCGGCUCAUCACAUCCUGGGGCUGAAGUAGGUCCCAAGGGUAUGGCUGUUCGCCAUUUAAAGUGGUACGCGAGCUGGGUUUAGAACGUCGUGAGACAGUUCGGUCCCUAUCUGCCGUGGGCGCUGGAGAACUGAGGGGGGCUGCUCCUAGUACGAGAGGACCGGAGUGGACGCAUCACUGGUGUUCGGGUUGUCAUGCCAAUGGCACUGCCCGGUAGCUAAAUGCGGAAGAGAUAAGUGCUGAAAGCAUCUAAGCACGAAACUUGCCCCGA
This 760-nucleotide ribosomal RNA is filed under the name Salmonella enterica. RNAcentral describes it as "partial 23S ribosomal RNA". It matches the Rfam family "Bacterial large subunit ribosomal RNA", at positions 2043 to 2802 of the family's 2925-position model. RNAcentral also lists the same sequence under 1 other name. Lineage: Bacteria; Pseudomonadati; Pseudomonadota; Gammaproteobacteria; Enterobacterales; Enterobacteriaceae. The record is from RNAcentral.